CCCUUCCGGUCUUCGAGACCGCGUCUUCAACUCGCCGCAGGACCCCACGAAAGUGGCCAGAAAUGCGGACGAGGCGAAGUAACCCUUGACUAUGAGUACCUUUUGUACCCUCGGCGGGCUCGCGCCCGUCGCUGGGCCCAUCCAAACCCCUUUGCAGUAGCAGUAUACCUUUGAUCGUGGGCACUUGAAUCUUUAC
This 196-nucleotide unclassified non-coding RNA is filed under the name soil metagenome. RNAcentral describes it as "partial internal transcribed spacer 1". The record is from RNAcentral.